RNAcentral lists this long non-coding RNA (1656 nucleotides) under Gallus gallus (chicken). The record is from RNAcentral. Lineage: Eukaryota; Metazoa; Chordata; Aves; Galliformes; Phasianidae.
CUCUGUAGGUCGGCCAUCUUGGACGAGGGGUGAGGUAGCUGGCAGGGAGGUGACGCUGCGGCUGCCAUGUUGAGUGAGGGCAGCCUAACAAGAUCUUGAUGGUGCUGCCGUAUGAGAUGGGGCAAUCAUCGUUCCACUUUUCACGUCUCUGUGUGACCAGAGGGUAAACAUCUUGAACUUCAGAGUCUGCAUACCACCUAAUCCCGAGGGAGUCCCCAGGGCCUGUCUGCAUUGAGCUGAAACCUCAGUUCUUAAGCAUCAGGAUCUGCCAGAUUUACAGCCUUCAAAGAGAUAGACAACAGCCCAGUUCAUCGGCACAGGCGUGAAGAACUGCACACAGAAAAGGAACAGGGCAGCCUUCCUACUAUAGUUGUGUCCAGAGCUGGCUGUCACUUCUCCACACAGACGAUGGCACCUGAGCCGGUUUGGAAUCUACAGUUCUAACAAGUUCAGCCAAGUUUUGUAAGCUGAAGAUCUCCGUUUAUCUUUAUUGUGUCAAUUGCUGACAGUGUUUCAAUACGGUGGUAAAAAUCAAAGAGCUGAUGUCCAUCCACAAAUAUUCUAAAACGGGGAUGCUCACAAAGUAUCUCAACCUGUAAAAAAUAAAAUGAUGAACCGUGUUCACAACGUAACUGGGAAGUUAUUUCACAGGAUGCAAAGAGCACCGGAUUAGCCUUUAAGCAGCGUUGGUAUGGUUACACAUCUUGCUACUUGCACGCCACGUAGCAGAGAAAGCUGAGCCCCCUUUGCCCCCACGACCCCAGUUACACUACAAGGGAUCUGCUCGCACUUCACAGAGAUGUUAAUCCAGCCUCACACAGCCAGGGUGGGGAGGACCCCCAAACCCUGAUGCACAGCUCUGCAGAUUAUGGUCCUGCUGGCACCAGGGAGGUUUUCUCUCUGUGAAUAAUGCCAGAAGCAAACUGCUAAUUAAAGGUAUAUCCAACCCAAAUCUUGCAUUCCUGGCUACAGAUGUUUGUUUGUUUUUUUUUUCCCGGCAGAAUGAGGGGGCAGCUCCCUCUGCAGUGUUUUCCAUGCUGCCAUUAAUUCAGUGGAAGAGAGCAAACAUGAGAGGGAUAGGUUUGCCCUCCACUCCCACACGCCAGAACUGCACUUACACAGCUGCUGUGCAACUAAAAAGCUUCUGCUGUGGCGACUGCACACAGGACUGCCUGCUGGACUAGGGGCUGCAGUGAGGGAGACGUAGCACAGGACAGCUUAAAUACAGCCAGACAGCCCACACAAGGCACAGCCUGCACAAGGGAAGGAUAAAGCUCAUCUCUCGUCCUACGGCCCUGGAGAAAUAAUCUAGAAAAGCCACAAGGAGAGGAGCUAGACCACUCGUUCUGGAUAAAUAUUCCUGAUAUCGAGGGUGGCUUGAUGCCUUGAGGAUAAGCUUUGCUAGAGCUGCCCCAUCAGGAAGCCAAGACGAGAAGGCACAAAACAUGCAUUUUUUGUAUGCGCCCUCAUAGACCUCCAGGUCUGGAAAGGCUGAGAAGCGAAUCUGCAGGGAAGCCAUGUGCAAAUCCUGGGUUGUUUCUGAGGCCGGUAGUCUGGAGCAAAGUGAGUGAUAAACUGAGCGAGUCGAAGUGCGUCUGAUUUAGGGCAUAUCAUACUGAGGAAGUAGCAGCAGACUGCCCACAGGACCUGGUAGCG